RNAcentral lists this transfer RNA (76 nucleotides) under Candidatus Peregrinibacteria bacterium. RNAcentral describes it as "tRNA-Glu". It matches the Rfam family "tRNA". From Rfam's summary of the family: Transfer RNA (tRNA) molecules are approximately 80 nucleotides in length. Their secondary structure includes four short double-helical elements and three loops (D, anti-codon, and T loops). Lineage: Bacteria; Candidatus Peregrinibacteriota. The record is from RNAcentral.
GGUCCCAUCGUCUAGUGGCCCAGGACAUCACCCUCUCACGGUGAAAACACGGGUUCGAUUCCCGUUGGGACUGCCA